RNAcentral lists this ribosomal RNA (428 nucleotides) under uncultured bacterium. RNAcentral describes it as "bacterial SSU rRNA". It matches the Rfam family "Bacterial small subunit ribosomal RNA", at positions 355 to 776 of the family's 1533-position model. The record is from RNAcentral.
UGGGGAAUCUUGCGCAAUGGGCGAAAGCCUGACGCAGCGACGCCGCGUGAGUGAUGAAGGCCUUCGGGUUGUAAAGCUCUGUGGGGAGAGAAGAAUAAGUGCAGCCUAAUAAGCUUCAUGAUGACGGUAUCUCCUUAGCAAGCACCGGCUAACUCUGUGCCAGCAGCCGCGGUAAGACAGAGGGUGCAAACGUUGUUCGGAAUUACUGGGCGUAAAGCGUGUGUAGGCGGCCACAUAAGUCGGAUGUGAAAGCCCCGGGCUCAACCCGGGAAGUGCACUCGAAACUGUGUGGCUUGAGUACUGGAGAGGUUGGUGGAAUUCUCGGUGUAGAGGUGAAAUUCGUAGAUAUCGAGAGGAACACCGGUGGCGAAGGCGGCCAACUGGACAGAUACUGACGCUGAGACACGAAAGCGUGGGGAGCAAACAGG